RNAcentral lists this RNase P RNA (268 nucleotides) under Crocinitomicaceae bacterium. RNAcentral's name for it is "partial RNase P RNA component class A". It matches the Rfam family "Bacterial RNase P class A", at positions 83 to 367 of the family's 367-position model. From Rfam's summary of the family: Ribonuclease P (RNase P) is a ubiquitous endoribonuclease, found in archaea, bacteria and eukarya as well as chloroplasts and mitochondria. Its best characterised activity is the generation of mature 5'-ends of tRNAs by cleaving the 5'-leader elements of precursor-tRNAs. The record is from RNAcentral. Lineage: Bacteria; Pseudomonadati; Bacteroidota; Flavobacteriia; Flavobacteriales; Crocinitomicaceae.
AGGAAGGUGUUACGUGGAAACGCGUAGUAACAGAAAGUGCUGCAGAAAUUAAUACCGCCGAUGGUCUCCGGACUCAGGUAAGGGUGAAAAGGUGAGGUAAGAGCUCACCAGUUCUAGAGUAAUCUGGAAGCUUUGGUAAACCUUGCGGGUUGCAAGACCAUGUACACUAAUGCUUGAGGGCUGCUCGCCCGAGUUAGGGGGUAGGUUGCUUAGAUAAAUGGUGAAUCGUUUCGGCGAACAGAAUCUGGCUUACAUCAUGCUUAUUAAA